UCUCAAUUCAUCGUUUCUAACGGGAUCUUUUUUCUCCUCUCUCACAAAAUCAUCGAUCAAAAAGCCACCCAUUAGAAAAAAAGAAAAUUGAAGGUAAAAAAAAUUAAAAAUUGAAAAAAAAAAGAAUUAGAAUUGUUGAUAAGGUUGGAGGUGGGGAAAAAUGGAUCUGUGGACCGUGCAUGUAAAGAACGCGAGCUUAGGCCCUCCUGUUUGGAUGAGGAUUUGUAAACCCGGUUCCAGUUUUAUGGGUAAAGUUGGAGUUUUUGAGAUCAAUGUCUUGAAACGCAGACUCGUUUCAUCUCAUACUCAGAAUCAUAAGUUGCUUGUUACUUCUAUGGCCAAGAAGAACCACGACAGCAACCCAUCUUCGCCUGGUAA
RNAcentral lists this long non-coding RNA (378 nucleotides) under Citrus maxima (pomelo). Its description in RNAcentral is "long non-coding RNA (CMAX_LNC002359)". The record is from RNAcentral. Lineage: Eukaryota; Viridiplantae; Streptophyta; Magnoliopsida; Sapindales; Rutaceae.